Molecule: ribosomal RNA, 279 nt
Filed under: uncultured bacterium
Lineage: Bacteria
Description: partial 16S ribosomal RNA
Rfam family: Bacterial small subunit ribosomal RNA
Source: RNAcentral
UGCCAGCAGCCGCGGUAAUACAGAGGGUGCAAACGUUGUUCGGAAUUACUGGGCAUAAAGCGCACGUAGGCGGCCGAGUAAGUGUGAAGUGAAAGCCCACGGCUUACCCGUGGAACUGCUUUGCAUACUGCUUGGCUAGAGGAUGGUAGGGGAGAGCGGAACUCUUGGUGGAGCGGUGAAAUGCGUAGAUAUCAAGAGGAACACCGGUGGCGAAGGCGGCUCUCUGGUCCAUAUCUGACGCUGAGGUGCGAAAGCUAGGGUAGCGAACGGGAUUAGAUA